Molecule: long non-coding RNA, 890 nt
Filed under: Spirodela polyrhiza (greater duckweed)
Lineage: Eukaryota; Viridiplantae; Streptophyta; Magnoliopsida; Alismatales; Araceae
Description: long non-coding RNA (SPOL_LNC001850)
Source: RNAcentral
ACGGAAUUGAGAAGAAGCCCGGGCUGGUAGCGGAACCAAGGGGACGACAGAUGGGAUGAUGGCGGGGGGCGGCGGGCACGGGAGGGCAUCGAGCGCGAAGACAAGAUGCCCUCCCCCAGCUGCGCUACCCUGACGAGCGCCCUGGUCAGCACAGCUCCCCACGCUGGGCGCCCAUCCGCACCCCCCACCGCCAACGUUUUCCCCUUCUCCUCCCUCUAGCCGCCGCCGCCGCCGCCACUGCCGCCGUAGCACGAAGGACCUUCUUUACUUCCCAUCCUUUCACCCCCCCAACACCUACUCUGCUCCCCCCCCCUCUUCCUUCUUCAUCGUCGUGGUGGUCCUGAGUUUUGGAUGAGAUCGACGUAUCCUGGUGUUCUUUCAGUUAUAGUCGUAUGUGUAUACAAUCUCAUGUCAUUGACUUUGUUUACAUCUCCAUCAUGGUCAGGUUGGUCAAGGCCCGGGAGUGUCAGCAUCAUGGUCGGAUCGCCACCUCGCUGGCAGCCCCCGGAUGAGUGAGUGCCCCCAAGAACACCCCGAAAGCUCAGGCCAACUAAGUCAACAGAGGCCACAUGAUUCCUGAAUACGCAUGCAGGCGAAACCUGCCGACCAGUGAAGACCUGGGUCGAAUAAUGCUCCUGAAGAGAGCGUCCGAUUCCCACUUUGGGAAACAAGGGAGGGUCUGUGCUUGGCGGCGAUCUUUCGGAGUCUCUUCUUAGAGCCCAUUUUUCUAGCCCGUCUGCUUCAAGGUUCGUCUCAAGAACGAGGGCUUUGGAAUGAGAAGGAGAGGGGCCAUUAAGUCAUCGCCUGCCCGCAAGGCCCAACCCCCACCCAAGUCCAGCCCAGCCCAGAGGGGUCCUCGGUUGCUCAGGGAAGGAACAAGUGAUCUGGAG